UCUGGCGGCAGUAGCGCGGUGGUCCCACCUGACCCCAUGCCGAACUCAGAAGUGAAACGCCGUAGCGCCGAUGGUAGUGUGGGGUCUCCCCGUGCGAGAGUAGGGAACUGCCAGAC
This 116-nucleotide ribosomal RNA is filed under the name Escherichia coli. Lineage: Bacteria; Pseudomonadati; Pseudomonadota; Gammaproteobacteria; Enterobacterales; Enterobacteriaceae. RNAcentral also lists the same sequence under 2 other names. The record is from RNAcentral.